This 69-nucleotide transfer RNA is filed under the name Boophis luteus. RNAcentral's name for it is "partial tRNA-Val". The record is from RNAcentral. Lineage: Eukaryota; Metazoa; Chordata; Amphibia; Anura; Mantellidae.
ACAAAAUAUAGCUUACAAAAGCCCUNCGCUUACACCGGAAAGACAUUUGUUGAACUCAGAUAUUUUUGA